This 181-nucleotide unclassified non-coding RNA is filed under the name uncultured soil eukaryote. RNAcentral describes it as "sequence contains ITS2". The record is from RNAcentral.
GCAUCUCGAACUCUAACACCUUGUGUGUAGAGAGUCGGUCAUGGUCUUCGUAGAUUUUAUCUACUUGGCUUAAAUUCAAUCGUGGCCAGUAUCUCAAAAGAUAGAGGCGUCAUAGUUGGCUCUUUCGAGUUCAUCUUUCGCUUUCUAUUGAGUAAAUAGUCACGUAAAAGCUCUUUUCAUA